Molecule: long non-coding RNA, 2395 nt
Organism: Panicum virgatum (switchgrass)
Lineage: Eukaryota; Viridiplantae; Streptophyta; Magnoliopsida; Poales; Poaceae
Exons: 6
Source: RefSeq, a predicted model, not a curated record
GUAGUUUUGACGAGAAAAAAAAAACAGAUUGAACUCCCUCUCGCUCCCCAACCCUAGCGUCUCGCGCCACCCGCCGUCGCCGCCGCCGCUCCAUCCCGAUGUCCGAGCCCAUGGCAUCCACGCUGCCCGUCGCCCCAUACUAUGCGGCGCGGCUGGUGUGGUAGCUCUAGGGGCGCAGGCCUUCACGUUGAGCGCGUCCGCGUGGUCCCCACCGAGUUCAUCAAGGUCGCCAGGUAGGCCCGAGCGCCCCUCAUGGCCUCGCGCGCCAGCGGCCUGGGGUGUGCAACCAUGCAGGGGAAGCGGCAGGGUGCCGCGGUCGGAGGGGAGGUGGAGGCAGAGCUCAAUUUGGAGGUGGCGGAGCUCGAUCCGGCACCGGCGGAGGUCGAUUCGGCAGCAGCGGAGCUCGAUUUGUAGGCGGCUGAGGUCGAUUCGGUAGUGGCGUCGCAACUGGCCGAAUCCCACCGCCACACAGCCAGCCGAGGCAAGGCCCUUCGCAGGCACGCCGCCAUCUGCCCCAACGCCCGCCGCCGCCUCCGUCUCCUCAAGCACCCACGGCCUGGAGAACGCCCACCGGCCGCCGCCGGAGAACGCUGCCGGAGAACGCCGCUGCCGUAUGGGUCGCUCCUUGCCUUGUGGAUUGGUCUGGAUGUCCAACGCCGCCGCUGGAGAGCUGCUCGAUGGUUUGCGGCUUGCACAGUGUUCAAGUGCUCCACUUCUCUUAGGCCCUACAUUGCAGAGGCAUUCAUCUUCAUCAUCCUGGAUGACGCUUAUAUUUUUUAUCCCGACCAAAGUUACCAACACAUGCAAAUAAAGAGGCCUUGCCAGUAUGGCACCCUGAUUGAUUCAAAAGUUUGGACUCAUGGCGCAGCUGUGCGGCAAGAUGAUUGGAUCUGAUUGAUGCAGUUGAGUCCAGAGCUUGCCAAGAAGUGAGUAGAUCUGGCUGUUUGACCUUUUCUCUAUGAGGUGCAUAAUUUUGUAUGUCAAACUAGCUGCCAUAAUAAUGUUAGAAGCUGUCCUUGCUAAUGGGUGGGUUCAAGAUAACUAUAUUGUUAGAAAUUGAUGUAAGCUAUCAGGGAUCGUUAAUUCUUUAUUACAACUAUCUUACUGUUAUUUAUUUCAAGCAAACUAAGGUAGGUUAGGUCAGUUUUCUUAAUUCAGAUUGUACUGCAACAACUUGAAUGGUGCCGAGGAUUAAUUUCGAGGGGGUUAAUAGUUUCUCUUUGUUACCCGGCUGUUAAGCUUGAGAUCAAUGCACGAGAACUUUUAGACAAUGCACGAUCCCUGAUUGCUCUUAUCCUUCAGGUUACUAUCGCACUCAAGAUGUUCUGAGCAAGAUCAUUUCCCGAUUUUUUGGGAGAAUUUUUCAUGCCUGUUCUGAGCAGAAUUGGGCAGCGGAGUGCCAGAGUUCAGUGUAGCAAAAUGCAGUUUCUAAGCUGGAGUUCAGAAAAAAUGUGGUUGGUUGUUAGCAGGUUCUUUGCUUGUUAGCUUGGCAGAAAUACUCCUCCUCCUCAGAGUUCAGUUCACUAUUGCCAAAUUAGACCCACAAAUAUUGGUCCUUGUAAUACAUGAUGACUUGUUUCAGGAAAGAUAAUUGUAUAUACCAUUUAGAUAGAACCUUGUAUAUAUCAUUUAUAUUGUGUAACUGAUGGGAUUGCAGGCUAGCUAACUGCACAGAAUGGGGGACACCAAUAAAAGAGAUGGCUAUGCAUUUAAAGAUGUAGCAAAACAACUUCAGCACAGGGAGGACGCUCGAGCAGCUCCCGUCCAGGGUCCUCGCCGCCGUGCCGCGUGGGAAGGGUGAGGAUGAGUUCGAUGAGGACGCGUCGACCAAGCAUAAAUCUAUAUCAGGAUUUAUAUCCCAUGCUCUCUGAGCAGCUGAUGAGGCUUUGAGAAAUGCAAAUUGGUUGCCUUCAGAGAUUGAGAAGAAAGAAAGAACGGUAUCAUUUCCUUCUGUGGAAACACACCCCCUAAGUAUAUGAGCGAGAUUUUACAGAUUAUUUUGGCUGAAAUGUUUCCGUAGCGUUAGCGCGGGCAUUAUUAAUCUAUUUCAUCAUAUGCUAUUAAUCUAUUUCAUCAUCCGCUAUACAAUUAAGAAAAAUAUCAUUGAGAAGCAUAUGUUGGCUUCGAUCUUCGACUUUCUCCAACAUAAGAUAUGGGAUUGUAUUAUCCUAUCAUGUCCUGAACUGCUGUGUAUGGCCUGGUUUGAUGAUUCUUGUAAAAACUCCAGUUAUGGAUAAUCGUGGAUCAUGUCGAUCAUGGCACAUAUGUUUCACUUAUAGAAAAGGACUAGACUAAUUGACUUACAUUGCAGUUUUGUUUGUCGUAUAGCUUUCAAUUGUAACAAUGCUAACAUUUCUGCGAGUUGUGGACUCAUCGAUAGUGACGGUUGGAUAUU